UACGUAGGGUGCGAGCGUUAAUCGGAAUUACUGGGCGUAAAGCGUGCGCAGGCGGUUUUGUAAGCCAGAUGUGAAAUCCCCGGGCUUAACCUGGGAAUGGCAUUUGGGACUGCAAGGCUUGAGUGCGGCAGAGGAGACUAGAAUUCCUGGUGUAGCAGUGAAAUGCGUAGAUAUCAGGAGGAAUACCGGUGGCGAAGGCGGAUCUCUGGGCCAUUACUGACGCUGAGGAGCGAAAGCGUGGGGAGCGAACAGG
This 253-nucleotide ribosomal RNA is filed under the name uncultured bacterium. Its description in RNAcentral is "partial 16S ribosomal RNA". It matches the Rfam family "Bacterial small subunit ribosomal RNA", at positions 524 to 776 of the family's 1533-position model. The record is from RNAcentral.